GAGUUUGAUCCUGGCUCAGGAUGAACGCUGGCGGCGUGCUUAACACAUGCAAGUCGAACGAAGCACUUGGGAAAGAUUCUUCGGAUGGAAGCCUUUGUGACUGAGUGGCGGACGGGUGAGUAACGCGUGGGUAACCUACCUCAUACAGGGGGAUAACAGUUGGAAACGACCGCUAAUACCGCAUAACCCGCUAGUAUCGCAUGAUACGGACGGAAAAGAUUUAUCGGUAUGAGAUGGACCCGCGUCUGAUUAGCCAGUUGGCAGGGUAACGGCCUACCAAAGCGACGAUCAGUAGCCGGCCUGAGAGGGUGAACGGCCACAUUGGGACUGAGACACGGCCCAAACUCCUACGGGAGGCAGCAGUGGGGAAUAUUGCACAAUGGGGGAAACCCUGAUGCAGCGACGCCGCGUGAGUGAGGAAGUAUUUCGGUAUGUAAAGCUCUAUCAGCAGGGAAGAAAAUGACGGUACCUGACUAAGAAGCCCCGGCUAACUACGUGCCAGCAGCCGCGGUAAUACGU
RNAcentral lists this ribosomal RNA (519 nucleotides) under uncultured bacterium. Its description in RNAcentral is "bacterial SSU rRNA". It matches the Rfam family "Bacterial small subunit ribosomal RNA", at positions 9 to 528 of the family's 1533-position model. The record is from RNAcentral.